This 306-nucleotide ribosomal RNA is filed under the name uncultured Planctomycetota bacterium. RNAcentral describes it as "bacterial SSU rRNA". It matches the Rfam family "Bacterial small subunit ribosomal RNA", at positions 29 to 351 of the family's 1533-position model. Lineage: Bacteria; Pseudomonadati; Planctomycetota. The record is from RNAcentral.
AAUGAACGUUGGCGGCGUGGAUUAGGCAUGCAAGUCGAGCGAUAUCCGUAGCAAUACGGUGAAAGCGGCGAAAGGGAGAGUAAUGCAUGGAUAUCUACCCUCGGGUCUGGGAUAGCUGCGGGAAACUGCAGGUAAUACCAGAUGACAUCUCCGGAUCAAAGGUGUGAUUCCGCCCGAGGAGGAGUCCAUGUCCUAUUAGCUAGUUGGUGAGGUAAUGGCCCACCAAGGCUGAGAUGGGUACGAGGUGUGAGAGCACGACCUCGCUCACUGGGACUGAGACACUGCCCAGACACCUACGGGUGGCUG